GUAGUCUCGCACAGAUGCAUAUCAAUAAGCGGAGGAAAAGAAACUAACAAGGAUUCCCUUAGUAACGGCGAGUGAAGCGGGAAGAGCCCAAAUUUGAAAUCUUCAAGGUUUUACCUUGACGAAUUGUAGUUUAAAGAAGUGUUUUCUGUUGAAGUUUUGGUAAAAGUUCUUUGGAAUAGGACAUCAUAGAGGGUGAGAAUCCCGUAUUUGACCAUUAUUUUCAGCUGUGUGAUACACUUUCAAAGAGUCGGAUUGUUUGGGAAUGCAGUCCAAAAUGGGUGGUAAAUUUCAUCUAAAGCUAAAUAUUGGCGAGAGACCGAUAGCGAACUAGUACCGUGAGGGAAAGAUGAAAAGAACUUUGAAAAGAGAGUUAAAUAGUACGUGAAAUUGUCAAAAGGGAAGCGUUUAACACCAGUGUUGUUUUCUGAAAAUCAACCUCUGUUAGCUUUAUGCAUGUUUGUUUAGACCUAAUCAGCUAUCUUGCAUGUCCUAUUGUUUGCAGUGGUGCACUUUUCAGUUUACAGGUCAACAUCAGUUUUUUUUACCGUAAAAAAGUUAAAGAAAGGUAGCUCAUGGCUCCGGUCGUGAGUGUUAUAGUCUUUUUCCUAUGCGGUAGGAGAGACUGAGGUCUGCAGUGUAGGCUAUUUGGCUAGAUACUCAGGUGCUAUGUGAUACCAUUUCAUAAACAACUUGUUGAUUAUGUUUUGUCUAUUGCAUACUCGCUUGUACUAUCAUACCUACGCUUAGGAUGUUGAAGAUGUAGCACAUAU
RNAcentral lists this ribosomal RNA (770 nucleotides) under uncultured Neocallimastigales. RNAcentral describes it as "partial large subunit ribosomal RNA". It matches the Rfam family "Eukaryotic large subunit ribosomal RNA", at positions 24 to 635 of the family's 3401-position model. Lineage: Eukaryota; Fungi; Neocallimastigomycota; Neocallimastigomycetes; Neocallimastigales. The record is from RNAcentral.